AUUUAUUUAAAAAAAAAAACCUGCCACUAAAGUCAGAGAAGUGUGAAUUCUGUGUAUUUGCUUUUAGUUACGUAAUUUAAAAUCCUCCAUGUUUUUGUUCCGUCAGGUUGGAAGGUAGAGCAGCAACACCAGGAUCGGUGUCUUUGUGAGGGAAAACCUAUGAAAGUAUAAUACAACAAACAGAAAAAAGAAGAAAGACUCUGUUGGCUUCAAGCAAGAAAUCAAAAAGUCUCUUGUCAGCAGGAAAGUUUUGAAACAUGGACACGAAGGACUGAAUGAACAAGGAAAGCUUCAUCACUGAAGGACUGAAGAGAGCUUCAAAUCAGUGGAAAACACUUCAGUCCCACAGUGAAUAUGGAAGAGAUGUUUGUGACCUCAUUCAGCCCAUGUUAAGAGCUCUCCAAAAGUGGAACAGCAGCAGAGAUAUGGGUGAAGACGACACAGACUCCUGGUUCUCUUCCACCUGUGAUAGAGUCUUCCACAGGCCUGGGGUGAGAGUGAAAAUGGCAGGUGGAUACAAGCUCACAGGAGAGCUGGACAGAGCGAGUCCAUCCAUGUGUCCUUCCUUUUAAAGUGAAAGCAUCAGAGAGCCCUCUAUGGGCGGUUGGUUGUAACUGCUCUCCUAUCAGGGUUGCUCCGGUUGGACAAGGUUUCUUGAUUCUACAUGGUGGUCUUCAGAGUCUUUUUAUGCAAAUUAGGGUUAAAAUGACAUUUUUAAAGGUUUUCCCUAUACCAAGACACCGAUCUUAAGUCUUCAGCACAGGACUUUCGUAUGAAGUAAUGAGGCGUAUCCUAAUGAUAACCAAUCCUCACGAUCCUUGGAUGCUUGGUUUCUCUGAUCUCUACUGUACAUUCCAGUAUGGGACGUUUAACCCUCUCUUUGAAUGUGUUUUUUUUCUUCUCCUACUUGUUUUAACGUCUACUGAAUGCAAUGUGUAAACGUGGACAUGAGAAUGCACGCACAAUUUAAAAACUGAAAAAACACAAAAACAACACAUAGGUUCUUUUCUCACCACUUUUAAUAUGAACGCCAACCAUUAGUCCUAGACUUUUAGGAGAGGGAAUAACUACCGGUGUGCCCACAAGUGUGAGAUCCACCAAACGAAGGCCUGUCCUCGGCUCUUUAUUAGCCAUCGCAAAGCCAUUUUUGUCUGCUCCAGAAUCUACAGGGGCAUCUUUUUGUUGUUGAUUUUGUCUCAUCUUCUUGUUUCUUUCCAUUUUUGCCUGAUAAUCACUGGAUUAAAGAGCCUUAUUCAGUACAGUUUUUACUUGUAUACCUCAUGUUGUGAAAUGUCCAUAUUGUGCUGCUUUUUUUUUUGUUUGUUUUCUUACACUGUAUAUUACUGUAUGUACAUAAAACAGAGAUCUACGUAUGUAAGUUUGUCAUUGCUGUAUUCAGCAAAACACUUUUAUGGAAAUGUGGUUUUUAUGUUGUUCAUUUCCUUUGCAAUUCCUUUAUAUAUAUUUUACAUUUUUAUCAGUUUGGUUCUAUUUUGUUUAAUGAUAUGAUUUUCUCAUUGGUUUAAUAAAAGCAAUAGCAUGCAGAAAAUGCUAAAUAGC
RNAcentral lists this long non-coding RNA (1560 nucleotides) under Gouania willdenowi (blunt-snouted clingfish). Its description in RNAcentral is "lncRNA (ENSGWIG00000025753.1)". Lineage: Eukaryota; Metazoa; Chordata; Actinopteri; Blenniiformes; Gobiesocidae. The record is from RNAcentral.